GCCGGGCGUGGUGAUGCAUGCCUGUAGUCCCAGCUACUCAGGAGGCCGAGGUGGGGGGAUUGCUUGAGCCUUGGAGUUUGACACCAGCCUGGGCAACAUGGUGAGACCCCAUCUCUU
Callithrix jacchus (white-tufted-ear marmoset) is the source of this 117-nucleotide unclassified non-coding RNA. It matches the Rfam family "Metazoan signal recognition particle RNA". From Rfam's summary of the family: The signal recognition particle (SRP) is a universally conserved ribonucleoprotein. It is involved in the co-translational targeting of proteins to membranes. Lineage: Eukaryota; Metazoa; Chordata; Mammalia; Primates; Cebidae. The record is from Ensembl.